GACGAACGCUGGCGGCGUGCCUAAUACAUGCAAGUCGAGCGCAGGAAACUGACGGAACUCUUCGGAGGGAAGGCAGUGGAAUGAGCGGCGGACGGGUGAGUAACACGUAAGGAACCUGCCUCAAGGAUUGGGAUAACUCCGAGAAAUCGGAGCUAAUACCGGGUAGUUCAACGGACGCAUGGUCCGCUGAUGAAAGGCGCUUCGGCGUCACCUUGAGAUGGCCUUGCGGUGCAUUAGCUAGUUGGUGGGGUAACGGCCCACCAAGGCGACGAUGCAUAGCCGACCUGAGAGGGUGAUCGGCCACACUGGGACUGAGACACGGCCCAGACUCCUACGGGAGGCAGCAGUAGGGAAUCUUCCACAAUGGACGAAAGUCUGAUGGAGCAACGCCGCGUGAGUGAUGAAGGUUCUCGGAUCGUAAAACUCUGUUGUAAGGGAAGAACACGUACGAGAGGAAAUGCUCGUACCUUGACGGUACCUUACGAGAAAGCCACGGCUAACUACGUGCCAGCCGCCGCGGUAA
Molecule: ribosomal RNA, 523 nt
Filed under: uncultured bacterium
Lineage: Bacteria
Description: partial 16S ribosomal RNA
Rfam family: Bacterial small subunit ribosomal RNA
Source: RNAcentral